CAAUAGCGUAUAUUAAAGUUGUUGCAGUUAAAAAGCUCGUAGUUGGAUUUCUGGUGGGAGCGAUCGGUCUGGCGCUUAGCGCGAGUACUUGCAUCGUCUCCGGCCAUCCUUGGGGAGAGUCUGUCUGGCAUUAGGUUGUCGGGCAGAGGAUCCUCAUCGUUUACUGUGAAAAAAUUAGAGUGUUCAAAGCAGGCUUAUGCCGUUGAAUAUAUUAGCAUGGAAUAACAAGAUAGGACUUUGGUACUAUUUUGUUGGUUUGCGCACCAAAGUAAUGAUUAAUAGGGACAGUUGGGGGUAUUCGUAUUCCGUUGUCAGAGGUGAAAUUCUUGGAUUUACGGAAGACGAACUACUGCGAAAGCAUUUACCAAGGAUGUUUUCAUUAA
Molecule: ribosomal RNA, 383 nt
Filed under: uncultured eukaryote
Lineage: Eukaryota
Description: partial 18S ribosomal RNA
Rfam family: Eukaryotic small subunit ribosomal RNA
Source: RNAcentral